This 497-nucleotide ribosomal RNA is filed under the name uncultured bacterium. Its description in RNAcentral is "partial 16S ribosomal RNA". It matches the Rfam family "Bacterial small subunit ribosomal RNA", at positions 28 to 507 of the family's 1533-position model. The record is from RNAcentral.
GAUGAACGCUGGCGGCGUGCCUAAUACAUGCAAGUCGAGCGAACAGACGAGGCGCUUGCCCGUCUGACGUGAGCGACGGGCGGGUGAGUAACACGUGGAUAACCUGCCUAUAAGACUGGCGUCACUUCGGGAGACCGGAGAUAAUACCCGAUAAGAUAGUGAACCGCAUGGUUCAUUAGAGAAAGAGGUAUUUGCUGACCCUUAUACAUGGUUCCGCGCCGCAUUAGCUAGUUGGUAAGGUAACGGCUUACCAAGGCAACGAUGCGUAGCCGACCUGAGAGGGUGAUCAGCCACACUGGAACUGAGACACGGUCCAGACUCCUACGGGAGGCAGCAGUAGGGAAUCUUCCACAAUGGGCGAAAGCUUGACGGAGCAACGCCGCGUGAGUGAUGAAGGUCUUCGGAUCGUAAAACUCUGUUAUUAGGGAAGAACAAAUGUGUAUGUAAAUCUGCACGUCUUGACGGUACCUAAUCAGAAAGCCACGGCUAACUACGUG